GUAUAAUAGCACUAAUAAUUAAGAUAAAUAAAUUAAUUCCAGUUGUACAAACAACAACAACAACAAAAAAAUCAGGUCAAAAUACAUUUCUUUGUGGAAGUGGGUUUGUUUACAUCACACCAUGUGGUUUUAUAAAACAUUUUUAGGGUGUGUUUUGAUCAACGCCCAAAUUCUUUUGGCCUCGGGUUUAAGCCGCGUGUAUGACGUCACACUGGGUGAUUCAAUUCGAUUCCAUUCUAAUUUCUAUUCAAUUCGGUUUGUGUGGUAAUUUCUCCUCGUUUUCUCACAUCGCACGCUACAGGUAAGUUGUAUAAAUGAUAUAUAUAUAUUGUUAGGAGUUUAAUAAUACGUGUGCACAGUAAUCCACAUAAACCAGGUGUUUCAACAUCUGUUGCAGCAAUGAGAUGCAGAAAGGAGGACCUGAUGUGCUUUAUCCAGACCCAAGUACAGGAGUCUGGCAAACAAAUUCAUAAAAAAGACCAAGUGGAGUCGUAUUUCUUCUGGCAGACAAUGGAGUUGUUCUGCUGUCGAAAUAGAGAAGUGAUGAUGUGUGAAUUCACCACAGUCAUCUUCCAGGGCUAUAGUCGGCUUAAGAAGAACCCACAACAAGUGGGUAUCUCACACAUCAGUAUCAGCAUCCGUCUGUAUAUGAUUGUGUGAUUUUGUAGUGCUUUUGCCAGCGCCGUGCUAACUAACAUGCGCCCUGCGAUGGACCGGCGCUCUGUCCAGGGUGUACGCCAUUAUAUUUAUAGUAAGUUUCAGAGCCCUGAUGUGGAGUCUGAGGCCGCUGGUUUAGCUCUGUAUGUGGAUGACUGUGUAAACAAACGAAUACAAGGUAAAAAGGAUAGAUAUGGUGAUUGAGAAAUUCACUGGAAAGUGAACUCAGCUAGAUGUUUGAUGAUGAUUAUGAUGAUAUGUGCCUUAUAUGUACCAGUGGAAAAUUUUUUUGCCCGUAUUUAGUCAUUGCAGUCCAACUCGUGCAUCGGAUUUGGAGAUACGGCCAAGAUUUCCUUCUCGAAUCACGUCACUUUCUUCCAUUUUUGUGUUUUAGUCUUUUAUAAAAGUUGUUUUAAUGCUGAUUCACUGAUAAAGCUGAUAGGAUUUUACUCGUGUGAAAUGUAUUUGUUUGUCUAUUAGUCGUAAUGACCUUAAGUGUCAUGUGCACAGUGUACUGGACUGUAAUGUUUAGAUAAUACUUAAAUUAUAGAUUUAUUUCUAUUCAUAUAAUAACACAAAGCCAAACAAAAUCAGAAGUAAUCAGCCCUAAUAGCUACUUUUUGUACACAUAUACUACCACUAUUACUAAUAUUUUGUUAAUUACGAAGUAGAUUAUUAUUGUUGUAUAUACUUGUUGUAUAUUGUUGUG
Molecule: long non-coding RNA, 1366 nt
Organism: Ictalurus punctatus (channel catfish)
Lineage: Eukaryota; Metazoa; Chordata; Actinopteri; Siluriformes; Ictaluridae
Source: Ensembl